This 3075-nucleotide long non-coding RNA is filed under the name Camelus dromedarius (Arabian camel). RNAcentral describes it as "lncRNA (ENSCDRG00005004647.1)". Lineage: Eukaryota; Metazoa; Chordata; Mammalia; Artiodactyla; Camelidae. The record is from RNAcentral.
CGGGAAGAACAAAGGAAGGGGGGCCCGGGACCCCCCGGGGGCGCAGGUGGGUGUGGGGGGCGGCGUGCCGGGCGCGGGGCGGGCGGGGGCGCGCGCCGAUUCAGGCGCCGGCGGGAGGCGUGCGGCCGCGCGGGGCUUGGUGCGCCAGUGUCUACGUCCGUGUGCGCACUCGUGCGGCGCCGUGGCGCUGGCCGGGCCGCUGCUGGCCGGGUCUUGCGCCGAAGCCCGCCACCACCCCCCCGGGGGCACGGGAAGCCGGGGGGCAAGGAGAGGCCGUUCCAGCGAGGCUGGCCGCGCCGCGCGCACACGCACACGCCGCCGCCGCCGCGCCGCCGCGGGGCUCGGCCGCUCGGCGGCCGUGCGGGGGGCGGGCCGAGGGCGGCCGGCGCGGCUGGGGCCGAGGGCGCGCCGCUGCCCGGCGCUGGGCACCGGCCUGCAGCCGCUGAGGGGGACGGCACGCAGUUCGCCACCUCAGGGGCACUGGCGUGGGUCCUUCGCCGUCCGGCGGCGACUGUAAAUAGAGCCUGGAUGUUGUUUACAUGAAGGAUCCGGCGGGAGGAGUCUGCGAGGAGGCGGCGGCGGCGGCGGCGGAGGAGGAGGAGGGAGGGCGGAGAGAGGAAGACCGGAGUCCCCGCGGCGGCGGCGGUGGUCCGGGGUGAGGGUGAGCCCCGCGCGGCGCGGGGACCGGGCGCUACCACGAGGCCGUGAAGCCGGACCCUGGGGUAGGAGGGAGAAGGGGCGCGGGGCGGGAAGAGGGGGCCUGUAAGAGUGGCAUUUUGAGCUUACAACCUGCCACGCAGAUUCUCCGGGGCGAGAGGGGAGGGGUGUGCGGGGAGGGCAGGGAAGCCUCGAUUUCUCUGCACGUUCAUUCUCCCAGCUCCAGUCUUUUCCCGCUUCCUCUCGGGGCUCACCUGUUUAUUUCCAUUAGCCAGAGCUUGCGGUCUUUUUUUAAUGUAGGCAUGAGAGGCUAUUUCUUUUAUUAGAAACACUAUUGGGGAAGGGGGUGCGUGGCUGUAAUUUAUGCCGGUUCCGGUCGGUUUUCAAGAAGGGGGAGGGGACUUGGCGGAGACCGCCGGCUCCCGGCGGUAGCUGGCCCCAGGGCUUCUCCCUGCCCGCACGGGCUGGGGAAUCUUUUCCCUCACUCAGCUACCCGCAGGCCAGCUGCCACCUUCUUGGAGAAGAACCACACCUGUGCUUAUUGCUCGCUUUGGAGGAGAGGUGAGCUGAGAAGCCGGGGAAUCUUCUGUUCCUCAGAACUCUUAGCUAACCCUCCCAUCCCAGAAUUGGCCAGAAAGUGCCGUUUUCACCUGCUAAUUGCACUGGGCACAUCCAUACCCCCACCCCAUCAAGUUGUGGUCCACAGAUGUGUUGGGAUUUUUCUCUUGCUUCUGAACCUGCACCCCACCAACCAGCAACUGACUGCUGGUUUUAGAUUGAGAGAAAGGUAACCAGCUUCGGCUUAGUACGCGUUCUUUAUUCCCCACUGGAUCUUCCAAAGGAAUCUUCUCUCUCCCCGCAGACCCCUUCCAAGAGCUUAGCCCAGAAUCUGGCCUAAGCAGCCAGUCUCUGGCUCUCUUUUCCUGGGCCCCACCCUGGCCCCUCUUGGUUCUCCACAGCCAGACGCGCCUCCCAAGCAGAAGGCACACCCUGCCCUAAAUCUAACCAUUCCAAAACGGAGAAGAAAACAGUGGAAGAGAAGGGACCCAGGGGUGUUCUUUCUGCCCUCAGUAUCCCCAGCAGCAUUUCCGUCUUCAGUUCUCCUGGAUUUAUAAUCCUUUAUUAUUCUUGUCAGCUGCUGCUACCUCUUUGCCCCUAUUCCUGUGAUGGAUCUUUGGGGAGGUGCAGAUAGGAGAGUGGAGAAAGGUUGUCACCCCUUUUCCCUAGUGUGAGGAAUUUUCCUUGUCUUUUCAUUUUUGAGAUACUUAAGAAGUAAAAUAUGUAAAUAUGUUUGCAUGCUUAUUUGAACUUAUUUUCCUGCUGGCUAAUGAAUAGCUGGGACUUAAAACGGUGGGAGGGGAGUGAUGUGAAGUGCACAUUCCCCCUGGUGUCCCCCAUAUGAGCAUCCCCAUAGUUGCUGGAGAAGACCCUUCUGGGAAUGCCAACAGUCUCCCUUCUAUGACAUCACCACCUAAGCCCUUCCAACUUUAGCUUCAGAACAGGAAGAAGGCUCAAAAUAGAACUACCUUAGGAAUUCAGCUCCUUUUAGAAGAUCAACUGUUAAAUCAGCCAUAGGAGGAACCGUGAACUUUGACAUGGGGAGAGAAAGCUGUAGUGUUUGAAAUCAGUUCCUUUGGGGGUGGGUAGGGGGAUACUUUCCGUGUAUAUUCAGAAAAGCUUUUCUCAAGAUAAGGUGAGUUGGGUACCUAGACCAAUGAAUGAUUAAUAGGAUGGUUUGAGAUUCAUUUAUUGAAUUAUUCAUAUGUUUUGGUAUGUCAAUAACAAGCACUUUUCAGGAUGAAUUAAAGGCGUGUUCCUAGAGUGUGUUCUGGAGAAUUUGCUAGAGAUAGAGAAGGCUCUUGGGGGGAGCUAGGAGGGAGGACCUGAAGGCGAGGACUCUGAGGAUGCAGUGACAGCUGCUGUGAGUUUGAAAUUGAGAGGCUUACUGUAAACAAUGACUAACUUUUGCCGGGUGAUUAAUAUCCUGGACAAAGAAGUAAUGAUAUCAGGAUUUCCUUACCUUUACAUCAAAGAAUAACUCUGAAUCUUUGAAUCAUGGUGUCUCCCUUUUUUUUCACCCUGAAUUCUCUGAGCCGAAAGAUUGUUCAGCCUUUAGGAAGAGCUGCUUAGUAAGUGAUCAUCACUUAAGUACUAACAACUGAAGGAUCAGAUGUAGGGAGAAAAUACUUGGCAUAAUUUGAGUGCCUAGUGGGUGCUGUAGAAUGACUUGCUGGGUGAAGAGUUCCAAUUUAAAAGAAUCCAGAUGAUAGAGACAGGGCUCUCUGUACCUGCGUUAAUACUGUAGCCAUUAGCCACGUGUAGCUGUGAAGCACCUGAAAUCUGGCUAGGGUGAUGAUGAACAGGUUGUAAAUUUUUACUUAAUUUAAAAAGUUGAUGUUCGACUCAGGUUAUUGGAAA